This 253-nucleotide ribosomal RNA is filed under the name uncultured bacterium. RNAcentral describes it as "partial 16S ribosomal RNA". It matches the Rfam family "Bacterial small subunit ribosomal RNA", at positions 524 to 776 of the family's 1533-position model. The record is from RNAcentral.
UACAGAGGUCUCAAGCGUUGUUCGGAUUCAUUGGGCGUAAAGGGUGCGUAGGUGGCGAGGUUAGUCAGGUGUGAAAUCUCGGGGCUCAACCCCGAAACUGCACUUGAUACUGCCUUGCUAGAGUACUGGAGAGGAGAUUGGAAUUUACGGUGUAGCAGUGAAAUGCGUAGAUAUCGUAAGGAAGACCAGUGGCGAAGGCGAAUCUCUGGACAGUUACUGACACUGAGGCACGAAGGCCAGGGGAGCAAACAGG